Molecule: long non-coding RNA, 403 nt
Filed under: Rattus norvegicus (Norway rat)
Lineage: Eukaryota; Metazoa; Chordata; Mammalia; Rodentia; Muridae
Description: long non-coding RNA NONRATT010824
Source: RNAcentral
GAUCUCCUGCUCUAGUGAUGGCUCUGUGGGACUCUGGAACCCAGAGGCAGGACAGCAACUUGGCCAGUUCCCAGGUCACCAGAGUGCCGUGAGCGCUGUGGUUGCUGUGGUAAGGCGAUGGACUGCACCAGCAUUCUCUGGGAGGGCCGGGAGGAUCUGGGAGAUGGGAUGCACUAGGUGUCUAAUCUCAGUGGCAAAUAGUAAAACUGUGAUACUUGGACUGGGUUCCAGUGUUGGGCCUGAUGGUCGGUGUGCUGGGUGGCACGUGAAAACACAUCCUCCUAGUGUUAUGGAUUUCUGGCAAGACUUUCCAAACCACUCAACGCCACAGUUCUGCAUCCCUCAGCCUUUUACAUCUUACAAGUUUCUGAUGUUUACCUUUCCCUCUCUGGAGGGGCCAGAG